Non-coding RNA from Ancylostoma duodenale, 55 nucleotides. NCBI's taxonomy places the organism in Eukaryota, Metazoa, Nematoda, Chromadorea, Rhabditida, Ancylostomatidae. The record is from Rfam.
GCCUCUAUAGCUCAGUGGCAGAGCGUCUGUCUCGUAAACAGAAGGUCUGCGGUUC